RNAcentral lists this long non-coding RNA (1537 nucleotides) under Triticum aestivum (bread wheat). Its description in RNAcentral is "long non-coding RNA (TAES_LNC011785)". The record is from RNAcentral. Lineage: Eukaryota; Viridiplantae; Streptophyta; Magnoliopsida; Poales; Poaceae.
UUUUUAGCAGUUCAUCACGCCAUCGUGUUAGUAUUGUUGAACUGAUGAAUUCGAGCAUUUGUACUAAUACUGUCAUUUCGUUGUACUGAUUCUGAUGUGUAUUUUGUCUGUCCUCGAGCGUUUGUACUGAUUCUGAUGUGUAUUGAUGAAUUCGAGCGUUUGUACUGAUACUGUCAUUUUGUUGUACUGAUUCGAGUGUUUGUACUGAUUCUGAAGGUCGAACAGGGGAACAACACAUUAUAAGAAACAAAAUACACAUUUGAAGAAACAAAAUAGGGGGAUAACCAUUGCACAUGGUCUCAUGUGUGCCUUCAUCAUAGAAAAAUAGAGUGGAUAUCUCCAAGUUCUAAGGUUGAGCAAAUCAAACAUACAGAAUAUUGUCCAAAACCCCGCAUUUUUUCUCACUAAAACAAACUUCUGUACUUGCAUACAACCCUCUUUGAACUUGGACGGCAUCUAGCGCUCAACUUGGACGAUGACCAGUGCUCAACUUGAACGGAGGAGAUUGUCGUUGCUUUUAACCAUGAAUGCUUCUAAAGACACUAGGUAUUGCUUCAAAACUUCUUUAUACUUUUCAACAUGAGGGUUCUCUCAGUUGGGCCAAGAAGUAACCCAUACAUCUUAUUUUUAUUCUGCAAGAACGAAACACUGCAAUGAUUAACAACUAAUCUAUCAGUACAUCCAGAACAAUUUCAGUUUUCAGAACAAACUUCCAUUGAUGUGUUAAACUCUGAAUCUGUAUAUAGGACAUGAUGGGUCUCAGGCUACUUACAAAAUAGGUUGCAUUAGGGGAGAAAUUACCUCUAUCUCCUGCCCGGAUAAAGGAUAUGUACUUCUAAUACACGAACAACAGAACUGAAGUGGCUCUUGUCACCGAUCUGUAGUCGCUCCAGCCUCCCUCGUGCUGCAUUCAGGGAGAAAAUAAAUUAGUGACAGAAAGGGGAUUUAGAGAGGAAGAGAAACAGAUGGGGAGGGCAUUAUAAUGAAGUGCAAGAUCAUUAUUUACUUGCAGCUGAGAAAUGUAUCAAUGCUUAACUAUAACGAAGUGCAGACAUAGUGAAAAAGCAUCAAAAUGUUGAUCAACUAAUACUAAAUUCUCUUAAAAACCAACACUAACAUGUAUUGUUUGCUUAGUCUGGGAUGGACUGUCAUUUCUGAAGGCACUUAAUUACCUUUAUUGCACACAUAAUAUUUCAAGAUUUCCUCAAGAUUUGCACAUUUAAAGCACAAUGCAACGAAAGAACACACAACUUGAACCGAGAAUCAAACUGAAAGUUGGGGUAGCAUGCCUGUGAGAGGGAGGUCGAGGGCAGCAGGGCGUGUAGUGGACCAAGGACUUAGCUAUACGGGGCCGGCAGCGGCGCUAGCGUGCGAAGAACCCCAGCCAUAGUUCAGAGAGUACAAACUAAAUGAAUAGUAGCUGAUCCAUCAGCGAGCAUGAAUCAGAAAGAAAAUGUUCAAAGAAAAAUGAGAUGGCGUUCUCACUGUGUGGGUGCUCAAUGGGUGCAGCGCUGGGUGAAGAUGGUGGUCGCAGUAA